This 468-nucleotide ribosomal RNA is filed under the name uncultured bacterium. RNAcentral's name for it is "partial 16S ribosomal RNA". It matches the Rfam family "Bacterial small subunit ribosomal RNA", at positions 28 to 507 of the family's 1533-position model. The record is from RNAcentral.
GACGAACGCUGGCGGCGUGCUUAACACAUGCAAGUCGAACGGAAAGGCCCUGCUUUUGUGGGGUGCUCGAGUGGCGAACGGGUGAGUAACACGUGAGUAACCUGCCCUUGACUUUGGGAUAACUUCAGGAAACUGGGGCUAAUACCGGAUAGGAGCUCCUGCUGCAUGGUGGGGGUUGGAAAGUUUCGGCGGUUGGGGAUGGACUCGCGGCUUAUCAGCUUGUUGGUGGGGUAGUGGCUUACCAAGGCUUUGACGGGUAGCCGGCCUGAGAGGGUGACCGGCCACAGUGGGACUGAGAGACGGCCCAGACUCCUACGGGAGGCAGCAGUGGGGAAUAUUGCACAAUGGGCGGAAGCCUGAUGCAGCAACGCCGCGUGCGGGAUGACGGCCUGCGGGUUGUAAACCGCUUUCGCCUGUGACGAAGCGUGAGUGACGGUAAUUGAUAAAGAAGCACCGGCUAACUACGUG